RNAcentral lists this ribosomal RNA (301 nucleotides) under uncultured bacterium. RNAcentral's name for it is "partial 16S ribosomal RNA". It matches the Rfam family "Bacterial small subunit ribosomal RNA", at positions 509 to 807 of the family's 1533-position model. The record is from RNAcentral.
CAGCCGCCGCGGGAAAACGAAGGGGGCUAGCGUUGUUCGGAUUUACUGGGCGUAAAGCGCACGUAGGCGGAUCCUUAAGUCAGAGGUGAAAUCCCAAGGCUCAACCUUGGAACUGCCUUUGAUACUGGGGAUCUCGAGUUCGGGAGAGGUGAGCGGAACUGCGAGUGUAGAGGUGAAAUUCGUAGAUAUUCGCAAGAACACCAGUGGCGAAGGCGGCUCACUGGCCCGAUACUGACGCUGAGGUGCGAAAGCGUGGGGAGCAAACAGGAUUAGAUACCCCUGUAGUCCCUGUCUCUUAUAC